GUGCGUCGGUAGGGGAGGGCUCACCUCUCCAGGUUGAAACGAUGGCGGUCAGAACCGCCUGAGGUAAAAACGGGUGGCACUGGGGAAGCGGAGGCGUAGCUCCCGAGAGCCUCACACUUGUGCUCAGUGCCGCCUCACCCCUGGUGGAUCCGCGAUGGCCGCGGAUUCCCCUGGAUUGCCGGCGCUGGGCAGGAGCGCCACUUCUAAUCUCUCCCGAGACUGGACGCCCGGCGCCUUCCACGCGCGUUGUGUCUUUCCGGGCGGUCCCUCGAAGCUGGCUACCCCGCGGGCUGUUGACUGCAGUGGGAUCUGGUCACUCAGAUGCGGAUAGAGGGGUACGGGAGCCGGAGAGGUGGAACAGGUCCUUCCGGGUGCGGAGAGCUGGGCCGUCCAGCCGCCUCUUUGUUCCCGCGUGGGUCCCGCGCGGAAUCCCCACCACCGGGGCCGACUGUCGUGGUCCCUGGAGUCAGCACCCUGCCCUCCCCGCCGUGGUGGCGGGUGGCUGGGGGGUCCCCGGCCCGGCGAGCCCGGCGGAGCGACCCUGCGCUUCUGCCCUGGCGAGCUUCCGGACUCAGGCCAUUUAAAUUUUUUUCCCCAGCAGAAUGAAGUUACUCUUUGCCAAAGUCACGGUUUUUAAAUGUGUGAGCCUGAAAACAUA
Molecule: long non-coding RNA, 658 nt
Organism: Homo sapiens (human)
Lineage: Eukaryota; Metazoa; Chordata; Mammalia; Primates; Hominidae
Gene: UBAC2-AS1
Product: UBAC2 antisense RNA 1
Source: Ensembl